GUGCCAGCCGCCGCGGUAAUACGUAGGGGGCAAGCGUUGUCCGGAUUUAUUGGGCGUAAAGAGCGUGUAGGCGGCCAGACAGGUCCGUUGUGAAAACUCGAGGCUCAACCUCGAGACGUCGAUGGAAACCGUCUGGCUAGAGUCCGGAAGAGGAGAGUGGAAUUCCUGGUGUAGCGGUGAAAUGCGCAGAUAUCAGGAAGAACACCUAUGGCGAAGGCAGCUCUCUGGGACGGUACUGACGCUGAGACGCGAAAGCGUGGGGAGCGAACAGGAUUAGAUACCCCCGUAGUCC
RNAcentral lists this ribosomal RNA (292 nucleotides) under uncultured bacterium. RNAcentral's name for it is "partial 16S ribosomal RNA". It matches the Rfam family "Bacterial small subunit ribosomal RNA", at positions 505 to 796 of the family's 1533-position model. The record is from RNAcentral.